GUAAAUUAACAAAUCCUUAUGUCUUUACAAUAUCUCAUCAUACGAAAUCAAUAUCUAUCUAUUUUAAUAUUAACCUGAAUUCUUUUCAAACAGUUACUACAGUUCAGCUAACAACCUAACCAGUUUUAUCACUAAACCUAUUACACGCAUGAUUUGUUCGCGGCGUUGGUCAAGUGGAAAGCGCAAGUAACCGCGCAUUUGCCACUUGACCGCCAGAACAUAAACACCUUAUAUAUCUUUGAUAUAUUGUUCUGCGUCAUUAUUACAGGUUAGUGAUAAAUCAAUUUAUAAACUUUAAACUUUGUAUUGUUAUAAUCUCUGUUCUAAUUAAAUGCAACGUAAGGUAUUGAUUGUAUUGAUUGUAUUUAUUGUAUUUAUUGUAUUUAUUGUAUUUAUUGUAUUUAUUGUAUUUAUUGUAUUUAUUGUAUUUAUUGUAUGUAUUGUAUGUAUUGUAUUGACUGUAUUUAUUGUAUUCAUUGGAUUACAAUAUUGCCAUGUUUUUACAAAUGCUAUUACUGUUAUUGUUGUAUAAUAAUGGUGAUUAAUGUAGGCAUUUGCCACUUGACCGCCAGAACAUAAACACCUUAUAUAUCUUU
Long non-coding RNA from Dreissena polymorpha, 596 nucleotides. RefSeq lists it as uncharacterized. Lineage: Eukaryota; Metazoa; Mollusca; Bivalvia; Myida; Dreissenidae. The transcript is spliced from 2 exons. The record is from RefSeq and is a predicted model, not a curated record.